GUAGAUAUAGUUUAUAAAAAUAUUAGAUUGUGAUUCUAAAGACAGGGGUUAAAGUCCCCUUAUCCACC
RNAcentral lists this transfer RNA (68 nucleotides) under Hapalogenys nigripinnis (short barbeled grunter). Its description in RNAcentral is "tRNA-His". It matches the Rfam family "tRNA". From Rfam's summary of the family: Transfer RNA (tRNA) molecules are approximately 80 nucleotides in length. Lineage: Eukaryota; Metazoa; Chordata; Actinopteri; Lobotiformes; Hapalogenyidae. The record is from RNAcentral.